CGAACCCAGAAUCUGAUUCAAAUCCGAAAUCGAAUCCGACAGAUUUUAAAAUUAAUAUGCAGAUCCGAGCCCAAUCGAAAUCCUAAUCCAACCCAAAAUGAUUAUCUCCCAACUAUAUUUUGAACAUAUUAUAGUAAAAUCUAAAGUUUUAAAAUAUAAGUUUAAAUACAAUACCAAACAUUCAUAUACAUUAUAUAAUAUAAAAUCAAUUCAUGUUCAGAUCGGGUUUCAGCUCUGGUCGGGUAGAGAUAAAAUUCAUACCCGAAUUCAAAUUUGUUCGAUUUUCGUUAUUUAUAUAUCAUUAUCCGAAACUGUAUCCAUUUAGCAUUGGAUAAACCGCCACGUUCCGAUAAAAUUUCGGAUAAUCUGUAUCCAU
This 376-nucleotide long non-coding RNA is filed under the name Ananas comosus (pineapple). Its description in RNAcentral is "long non-coding RNA (ACOM_LNC018411)". Lineage: Eukaryota; Viridiplantae; Streptophyta; Magnoliopsida; Poales; Bromeliaceae. The record is from RNAcentral.